AUUGAACGCUGGCGGCAGGCCUAACACAUGCAAGUCGAACGGUAGCACAGAGAGCUUGCUCUCGGGUGGCGAGUGGCGGACGGGAGAGUAACGUCUGGGAAACUGCCCGAUGGAGGGGGAUAACUACUGGAAACGGUAGCUAAUACCGCAUAACGUCGCAAGACCAAAGUGGGGGACCUUAGGGCCUUUCGCUAUAUGGGUAGCCUGCGUACGAUUAGCUAGUUGGUGGGGUAAAGGCCUACCAAGGCGAUGAUCGUUAGCUGGUCUGAGAGGACGGACAGCCACACUGGGAAUGAGACACGGCCCAGAGUCCUACGGGAGGCAGCAGUCGGGAAUAUUGGACAAUGGGGGGAACCCUGAGCCAGCGAUGCCGCGUGUGUGAAGAAGGCCUGCGGGUUGUAAAGCACUUUCGGUUAGGAGGAAGUAUGUUAGGUUAAGAGCUAGGCAUAUUGACGUUACUGACAUAAGAAGCACCGGCUAACUCCGUGCCAGCCGCCGCCGUAA
This 504-nucleotide ribosomal RNA is filed under the name uncultured bacterium. Its description in RNAcentral is "partial 16S ribosomal RNA". It matches the Rfam family "Bacterial small subunit ribosomal RNA", at positions 29 to 523 of the family's 1533-position model. The record is from RNAcentral.